UGCUUCUUCUUGAGUCGGAGCAGCUUCUUUUUCAGCAACUCUAUCUUUCGAUCUUGGAGGGACGAUGCUGCUCAAGUCGAGGCUUGGGUAUAAUUUUUCGAUCGCAUCUCGACCGUCUUCAUACCUGACGCAGUACGAAGCGAAGCCAUUUUCAAGGAUCCCUUCCUUGAAUUCUUCUGAACCUCGAAAAUCCUUGACUGCCCGACCCAGUGCUUCUCUUGCCGACUCCGCUUCCGCCUUGGCCAAAUCAGCAUCGACUAGAGCAGAGGAUAAUUCUUCUUUGGCCAGUGCUAACCUUUUCAGGCUGGCAUG
RNAcentral lists this long non-coding RNA (312 nucleotides) under Elaeis guineensis (African oil palm). RNAcentral describes it as "long non-coding RNA (EGUI_LNC032670)". Lineage: Eukaryota; Viridiplantae; Streptophyta; Magnoliopsida; Arecales; Arecaceae. The record is from RNAcentral.